RNAcentral lists this ribosomal RNA (656 nucleotides) under uncultured bacterium. RNAcentral's name for it is "bacterial SSU rRNA". It matches the Rfam family "Bacterial small subunit ribosomal RNA", at positions 139 to 813 of the family's 1533-position model. The record is from RNAcentral.
GGGGACAACAGCCAGAAAUGGCUGCUAAUACCGCAUAAUCCUGCGCUGCCGCAUGGCAGCGCAGGGAAAACUCCGGUGGUACAGGAUGGUCCCGCGUCUGAUUAGCUUGUUGACGGGGUAACGGCCCACCAAGGCGACGAUCAGUAGCCGGCUUGAGAGAGCGGACGGCCACAUUGGGACUGAGACACGGCCCAGACUCCUGCGGGAGGCAGCAGUGGGGAAUAUUGCACAAUGGGGGGAACCCUGAUGCAGCAAUGCCGCGUGGGUGAAGAAGUACCCCGGUAUGUAAAGCCCUGUCAGCAGGGAAGAAAAUGACGGUACCUGACUAAGAAGCCCCGGCUAACUACGUGCCAGCAGCCACGGUAAUACGUAGGGGGCGAGCGUUAUCCGGAUUUACUGGGUGUAAAGGGAGCGCAGGCGGCGUGGCAAGUCAGAUGUGAAAACCCGGGGCCCAACCCCGGGACUGCAUUUGAAACUGCCAUGCUGGAGUGCCGGAGAGGCAAGUGGAAUUCCUAGUGUAGCGGUGAAAUGCGUAGAUAUUAGGAGGAACACCAGUGGCGGAGGCGGCUUGCUGGACGGUAACUGACGCUGAGGCUCGAAAGCGUGGGGAGCAAACAGGAUUAGAUACCCUGGUAGUCCACGCCGUAAACGAUGAA